AAGUCGUAACAAGGUUUCCGUAGGUGAACCUGCGGAAGGAUCAUUAUCGUACAAAAUGUGUGAGGCAUGCGAGGGCUGUUGCUGACUCAAAGUCGUGCACGCCAGAGUGUGUCCUCUCACAUAACCAUCCAUCUCACCCUUUGUGCACCACCGCGUGGGUACCCUUUGGGAUCACACCGAUCUCAGAGGGGGCUUGCGUUUUCACAAAAAAAACCCCCCUUUGAAAAGUGUAGAAUGUCCUCAUUUAUGCAAUCAAUACAACUUUCAACAACGGAUCUCUUGGCUCUCGCAUCGAUGAAGAACGCAGCGAAAUGCGAUACGUAAUGUGAAUUGCAGAAUUCAGUGAAUCAUCGAAUCUUUGAACGCACCUUGCGCCCCUUGGUAUUCCGAGGGGCACACCCGUUUGAGUGUCGUGAAAAUAUCAACCUCCUUGGUUUCUUCUGGAGACCAAAGGAGGAUUGGACUUUGGAGGCCUUUGCUGGCAUCUUUCUCUUUUGAAGGCCAGCUCCUCUUGAAUGAAUUAGCAGGGUCCUCUUUGCCAACCCUUGACAUGUGAUAAUACGUUUCCGUGUCUUGGUUUCUGGCUCUGUUGCUUCUGGGACCUGCUUCCAACCGUCUCAACCUUGCAUCGAGACAAUGUUCGGGCACGUCUCCCUUCUUGGGAAACCUCCUCGACCC
Molecule: ribosomal RNA, 678 nt
Filed under: uncultured Lactarius
Lineage: Eukaryota; Fungi; Basidiomycota; Agaricomycetes; Russulales; Russulaceae
Also listed under: 1 other name
Description: eukaryotic LSU rRNA
Rfam family: 5.8S ribosomal RNA (bases 260-413)
Source: RNAcentral